RNAcentral lists this ribosomal RNA (460 nucleotides) under uncultured bacterium. RNAcentral's name for it is "partial 16S ribosomal RNA". It matches the Rfam family "Bacterial small subunit ribosomal RNA", at positions 338 to 795 of the family's 1533-position model. The record is from RNAcentral.
CCUACGGGUGGCUGCAGUGAGGAAUAUUGGUCAAUGGACGGAAGUCUGAACCAGCCAUGUCGCGUGAAGGAAGACGGCCCUAUGAGUUGUAAACUUCUUUUGUACAAGAGUAAACCUGAAUACGUGUAUUCUGCUGCACGUACUUUACGAAUAAGGAUCGGCUAACUCCGUGCCAGCAGCCGCGGUAAUACGGAGGAUCCGAGCGUUAUCCGGAUUUAUUGGGUUUAAAGGGGACGUAGGCGGAUUGAUAAGUUAGGGGUGAAAGUUCACGGCUGAACCGGGAAAUUGCCUUUAAUACUGUCGAUCUUGAGUGGAGAUGAGGUAGGCGGAAUGCAUGGUGUAGCGGUGAAAUGCUUAGAUAUCAUGAAGAACACCGAUUGCGAAGGCAGCUUACUAAGCUGUAACUGACGUUGAGGCUCGAAAGUGUGGGGAGCAAACAGGAUUAGAUACCCCUGUAGUC